ACGAACGCUGGCGGCAUGCCUAACCCAUGCAAGUCGAACGAGACCUUCGGGUCUAGUGGCGCACGGGUGCGUAACGCGUGGGAACCUGCCCUUAGGUUCGGAAUAACUCCCCGAAAGGGGUGCUAAUACCGGAUAAUGUCUUCGGACCAAAGAUUUAUCGCCUUUGGAUGGGCCCGCGUUGGAUUAGCUAGUUGGUAGGGUAAAAGCCUACCAAGGCGACGAUCCAUAGCUGGUCUGAGAGGAUGAUCAGCCACACUGGGACUGAGACACGGCCCAGACUCCUACGGGAAGCAGCAGUGGGGAAUAUUGGACAAUGGGCGAAAGCCUGAUCCAGCAAUGCCGCGUGAGUGAUGAAGGCCUUAGGGUUGUAAAGCUCUUUUACCCGGGAUGAUAAUGACAGUACCGGGAGAAUAAGCUCCGGCUAACUCCGUG
RNAcentral lists this ribosomal RNA (432 nucleotides) under uncultured bacterium. RNAcentral describes it as "partial 16S ribosomal RNA". It matches the Rfam family "Bacterial small subunit ribosomal RNA", at positions 29 to 507 of the family's 1533-position model. The record is from RNAcentral.